CUGUUUGAAUAAAAAAACUUUUAAUAAGAUAAACCCAGAAGAGAUUACUAUAUUUGGAAAAGCAUGAUUUUCAUCUAGUGCCUGUUGAAAUUGUUGUUCCCAGACCAAAAAUAAUCAUAUUCACCAUUUUGAUGCUAGUCUUGCUUCUCUAAAAUUACUUUUAGUGAGAGAUUGAGAAAGAAGAGAAACAAAAUCUACAAGGACAGAGAACAGUGAAGGAGAAGCUAUGCUGACGUUCCCCAAGAGAGGCAUUAGGUGAAGAUUUCAGCAAUAUGAGACAGGAUUUCAUCCAUGGAGAGUGAAUUUGAGGCAACCAUUGAGAUCUUGGGAGUCAAGAUGACAUCAGAACCAUGACUAGGUGGUGAUGAUGAAAGGUUUGCUCACCAGUGGUAAUGGAAUUGAUGCUUUUGGUGGAUGAUAUUGGCAUGAAGGUUGUUGAAUUUUGACUUAGUAUUUGCUGGAAUUUGAAUUUUGAAUAUUGCAGCUGGAGUCUUGCACAAAAUCUGCAACAUCUAGAUAUUUUCUUCUUUUUAUUUGGUCAAGAUUUGGUUUCUAUUUUAUAGGAAGUAGUUGUUCAUCAUCUAGUAGCUUGAUUUUCUGCUAUUCUAAUGUCAUUUAAGUUACAAGUUCAUGUAUAAAUUCAGCAUUCUUCAUCAAUAAAAUUAGAGCUCCGGCAGACCAAAAAUAUAUAUUCGGUAUAAGUAUUUAAUCUUAUACCAACAAAGUGGUAUCAGAGCCAUAGUUAUCUUGAGGGGCCAGUGAGGUGAGUGAACCCAAACACCUUCUAAAAUCAUUUAGCAAUGGAAGAGUCAAGUCUCACAGUUGCACCAUCAAUUCUUGAUGGAGACAAUUAUGAAACUUGGGCUGUUAGAAUGACAGUUCAUCUACAAGCACUUGAUGUUUGGGAAGCAGUGGAAGAAAAUUAUGAAGUUCCUCCCCUAGGAGCCAAUCCAACUGUGGCUCAAAUGAAGUUGCAUAAAGAAAGAAGGACAAGAAAGGCUAAAGCGAAAGCUUGCUUGUUUGCUGCAGUUUCACCAUCAAUUUUCAUCAAAAUCAUGAAAAUUGAUUCAGCUGCAGAAAUUUGGGAGUAUCUCAAGGAGGAAUACAAAGGAGAUGAAAGAAUCAAGAACAUGCAGGUGAUGAACUUGAUUCGAGAAUUUGAAAUGAAGAAAAUGAGGGAGUCUGAUGCUGUUAAAGACUAUGCUGCACAACUUCUUUCAAUAGCAGACAAAGUUAGGCUGCUUGGAAAAGAAUUUUCCAAUGAGAAGAUUGUUCAAAAGAUAUUGGUUACACUUCCUGAGAAAUAUGAAGCUACAAUUUCCUCUUUGGAGAAUUCAAAAGAUCUGUCAACUAUUAGCUUGACAGAAUUAUUACAUUCCUUGGAGGCUGUGGAACAAAGAAGACUCAUGAGACAAGGAGAUACUGCAGAAGGAGCAUUUCAAGCAAGAAUGCAGAAAAAUGCAGGCCAUAAAAAUGGAAAGGUGAACAACAACAAGUCGUGUGGCAACAACCAGAAAAAUGGAGUUUUUCCACCUUGUCCUCAUUGCAAGAAGACAAAUCAUUCUCCACAAAAAUGUUGGUGGAGACCAGAUGUGAAAUGCAACAAGUGUGGUAAACAAGGACAUGUGGAGAGGAUUUGCAAAAAUCAACAGCAGGAAGAAACUAAUGCAGUAGUUGACUAUUGUCAGGAGGAGCAAUUGUUUGCAGCAACGUGUUUUGCUAAUAAAAGCACCUCUAAAAGCUGGCUUGUGGAUAGUGGUUGUACAAACCACAUGACAAAUAAUCAAGAUCUCUUUAGAGAACUUGAUAGAACAAUUAUUUCCAAAGUCAGAAUUGGAAAUGGUGAGUAUAUUCCAGUGAAGGGCAAAGGAACGGUUGCUAUCGAAAGCCAAACAGGUUUGAAACUCAUUUAUGAUGUUUUGUUUGUGCCUGACAUUGACCAAAACUUACUCAGUGUUGGACAGCUCGUUGAGAAAGAAUUUAAAGUUUAUUUUGAAGAUAGGAAUUGCAUUAUCAAGGAUGCUGAAGGCAAAGAGGUGUUCAACAUAAAAAUGAAGGGCAAGAGUUUUGCCUUGAAUUUACUGGAAGAUGAGCAUACUGCUAUUUUACAACAAGAUAGCACAACAAUGUUUUGGGACAGAAAGGUCGAGCACUUUCAUCAUGAUGAUGUGCUCUACAUGAAGAAAAAUCAAAUAGCUGAAGGACUUCCUGACUUAGAAAAAGAUCUUCCUAUAUGUGCUACUUGUCAAUAUGGGAAGCAAACUAAACUUCCCUUUCCAAAGAAAAUAUCCUGGAGAGCAACCCAAAAACUGCAACUGGUGCAUACUGAUGUUGGUGGAUCUCAAAAAAUGCCAUCCUUGAAAUGGAAUGCAAACAAUGUUUGGUGGAUCUCAAAAAAUGUCAUCCUUGAAAUGGAAUGCAAACAAUUUUGGGCUAAAACUGCAAGUAGAGCAGUAUAUUUUCUGAACAUAUUGCCAACAAAAGUGUUAAAGAAGCAGACCCCUUUCGAAGUUUGGUUUGAGUGUCUACGUGCAAGACUUGGAGUUUGCAUCUACGAAGUCAAGGAGGAGUGUUGAAUUUUGACUUAGUAUUUGCUGGAAUUUGAAUUUUGAAUAUUGCAGCUGGAGUCUUGCGCAAAAUCUGCAACAUCUAGAUAUUUUCUUCUUUUUAUUUGGUCAAGAUUUGGUUUCUAUUUUAUAGGAAGUAGUUGUUCAUCAUCUAGUAGCUUGAUUUUCUGCUAUUCUAAUGUCAUUUAAGUUACAAGUUCAUGUAUAAAUUCAGCAUUCUUCAUCAAUAAAAUUAGAGCUCCGGCAGACCAAAAAUAUAUAUUCGGUAUAAGUAUUUAAUCUUAUACCAACAAAGGUGAUCAAUUACAGAGGUGAUAAUGGAUUGUGGCAAUAACUGUGAUGAUAGAAAAAUGGCAGUGGCACAGGUGACAGUGCACAGGAUUGACAUCAAUGUGACUCUUUGAUAGUUAUAAUGAUAACAAAGACAACCACAAUGAUAAAGGAAUGGUAAGUGGUAGGUGAUUAGUAAUUUAC
RNAcentral lists this long non-coding RNA (3041 nucleotides) under Vitis vinifera (wine grape). RNAcentral describes it as "long non-coding RNA (VVIN_LNC006302)". Lineage: Eukaryota; Viridiplantae; Streptophyta; Magnoliopsida; Vitales; Vitaceae. The record is from RNAcentral.